RNAcentral lists this long non-coding RNA (12658 nucleotides) under Paramuricea clavata. The record is from RNAcentral. Lineage: Eukaryota; Metazoa; Cnidaria; Anthozoa; Malacalcyonacea; Plexauridae.
GCCUUACAAAUCUCUAAGAAGAUCAGUUGGCGUUUUUGUCCGAAGAAGACUGUUUGUCUGUUUGUCUAAUUGGCAUAUUUCCACAGGUAAUAUUUGUUAUGCAUGCUUUCAUAUAUACAGUUGAACUUGUAUUAAGCGGUCACCCUUUCUUUUAAGCGAUCAUUUGGUAAAGUCCCGAAAAUUUCAUAAUGUAAAUGCUGUUGAAGUGACCUUUGUUAAACCGCUUUAAUACCUCUGUUGAGUCGACGCACAACCCCAAACAUAUUUUUUCAUUGUUGUGUAACUGUAUUAAACCUAGUAUUAAUACAGAUUCGUCUGUGUGCCUAUCGAUUCUGUAAGGGGACUAAGGGUGGAUUUUCUACUAGCUCAGACUCAUGACGGAUUUAAGACACGUGCGCUAUGGAAUGUCGCGUUUUGGCACCCAUGAAAAAAAGAAAAGGCUCCCCAUUCUUAUACCCUUUCGGUUCCGCGUUUAACGUCAAUAUAAGAAAGGUCUAUUGAGCCCAAUCGAACAUUUUUAAAUGUAAACUAAUACAUGUUUAAAAUAGAACUAUGGAAUAUUGUAUUAUUGUCAACAGUCGACCAUGAAUUAUCUCUCGAAUCGAUGACAUCUGGAGGCUGGAUUAACGUUAACUCGAAACAAGCUACGGAAGAAAAGACAAUCUGUUUGAAAUUUUAACCCAAAAAAGGCAAACACAAGCAGCCAAAUUUAUGUUGAAAUGGGGGAUUUGUUGUAAAAUGUAAAUUCAGGUGGCGUUAUCCCACCAGGUUGCCGAAACUCACAAACCUUUCAGCACUUGUAUAAUUGGAUCUGUACAGUAGACCCUGACUAGCCUGCGGGCAGCCCCAUACCACGUAAACGAGGGAAGGGUUAGGGUUAGGCUAACCCUGACUGGGUUGGUAUGCAAAUUGCCCAUUAUUAAUCAAUGUUUAUUUGAACUUUUGAGAGAUGGAUUCUCACUCUUCAGUUGAAUGAUAUUCAGAUACGAAACAAUGCAUUCUGAUCAGCAUGACCAUGAAACCAAAUAUUUGCUGCCGUAGCGAGCGAGCGUAAAGCGAGGCAGCAGACUAAUCUUUAUGUAUAUGUAUAUAUAUGAAAUCUCGAUCGUUUUGGCGUAUUUCGGCUUACCACAAUGCACUGCUUCCGGGCCAACAGGCUAUUCUUGCCUAAUAAACAGGCAUAAGGCAAACAAGCAGUGUGAUCAUCUUUCAUCUUUGGUUUUAUUUUAUGGAAAGCCAUAGCUGGCGUAAGUGAUCAAAUGGCAAUUUGUCGAUACGCAGUGGUUCGAACGUUAUACGCGGUGGUUUCGCUAUUAUACGCAGUGGUUCGAGCAUUAUACGUGGUGCUUUCGCCAUUAUACGCGGUGCGUUCGCCAUUAUACGCAGUGGUUCGAGCACUAUACGCGGUACUUUCGUCAUUAUACGGGGUGCUUUUAACAUAAUUUCCAUAUUCUUUCCAUGUAUAUAAUAUCACGAUUGCUUAAUAAAUCUGGUAGGCCGUAGGCCUAUGUGGCUGUGCUUUUUGCCUCUGGUCUGCAAUGACAAUGACAUGCUUUUAAAAAGGUUUAUUUAUAAAAAGGUGACUGCACUUUGUGAGUUCUUAUAUAUUAUCAUCAGUAUAGUGUUGAUUUAUUAGUAAUAAAUAUGUGUAUAUAACAUAGGUAUAUAAAUUAAUAUAACGCAGCGAAUGCGCGCCAAGCAGUAUAAACACGGCUGAAAUACGAUAUUAAAAUCUUGAAUGUACCGUAUGAUUUAAUUAUGUUUUAGGAUUUAAAGCCUUUAAAAAUGCUUUGUCAUUUGUAUUUGUACUUGUACUUGUACUGCAUCACAACGCAGUGCGUAAGUGAACAGAUUCCACAUGUGAGGUUGUUUUGUAUAUAUUUUUGCCUUCUUUGAUAAACAUUAUUAUUUAUUAAACACGCAAAUUUAGUGAGACGCACACUCGCACAUGUUAAAUGUCACCUGCAUGUCAUUGUCAUUGCCCUUUAACCCCUGGUCUAAAUCAUAUGAUUAUUUAAGCGGGGCCGUUUUGACCUAGCACCGUAUUUGUAGGCAAAUUGUCUAUACAAUUUUAUAUACUAGAUAUCACAGCCAUACCUGCCAUUUUGAUCUUUUCCUCGCGUUAGAUAAGUUGAUAAGUACACUCAUUCUUGUUAGCCAUCGUACCUGUUCGGCUGUUCCUCUUUCGAUACGAAACUUCGAGCGCCGAGUUAUCAUACGGCACAUUCAAGUGUAUAAAUUAUGGAUGAUUCCAACGGACCAUUCCCCGAUUAACCAAAAUUUUGAACUCAACAAAUCUAGACUUUGCAAUUUUCAGUCAUUUUAGAUUACAAACGGGAGAUGGUUACCACUUCUGUGCGUAAUACAAAUUACAAAAUGACUGAAAAUUACAAACUUCUUCGCAAGGCUAUAUUAUCCGCAUUUUUCAACGAAACUUUGGAAUAUCACUAAUUUUGUGAUGCUCUUUCAAGUUGUGAUAAAAUUUUUGCUUAGGCUAGUUAAAAUCAAAAUUUUGGAAAAGUGGUAACCAUUUCCCGUUUGUAAUCUAAAAUGACUGAAAAUUGCAAAUUUCGCAAGGCUAUAUUAUCCGCAUUUUACAACAUUUCGCAACGAAACUUUGGAAUAUUACUAAUUUGGCGAUGCUCUUUCAUGCUAUGAUGGAAUUUUGUCUAGACUUGUUGAGAUCAAAAUUUUGGUUAAUUGGGGAAUGGUGAUUACAAAUAUUUCUUACUCUUAUUCUUUAAAAUAUUAAAGGUGCUAUACCAAGGCAGCAUUCACUACCCUGUGAGUAAACUAGUAUCAGCUAAUUCAAUUAAGGUUGUCCUUUCAUAACGGUCAAAACCGCAAAACCUCGGCCUCUAAGCGCGAAAAGCACGAUGGAAUUGGAUUUGUAUAUAAUAUAUAAUUCAUACUUCCGACACGCCGGUGUGUCACAGAGUAUUUACAUACAGAGGUCUCACUUCUGCGAAAAAAACGUAAGGUAGUUUUUACUGCGCAUAUUUGGCGGCCAUGUUCUUAAACCUGGACUGCCUGGUUUCCAUAUGAUCGUAAAAAUAGACUCGCGAUCUUCCUCAACGGCCAGUUUAUACCUGUAAACCACAUAUAAAUCAUAAGUAUUCUCUAGUUAAAACCACUCCGCGUAAUUUCAAAAAUGUUGUAUUUUGGCUGAUGAGAAAGAUCGUGACUCAAUCUUUACGACCGUUACGACCAUAUGGAAACCAGGCUUUAGUAAGUUCCCUAAAGAGAAGAAUUCACCCCCUUGGAACAUUAAAUUUCAAUAUGUUUUCGGGGUGACGGCGUCUCAUUAGGGCACUUGCUAAGAACAUGGCCGACUGGGAAAUCCUUAUGCUACAUUAACCUGAAGUGAGACCUCUGUGUGUAAUUACUCUGUGCCAUAGUUACGGUUGCUACGUCCCACCAGCCGUUUGGGUAAAAAAGCGAUUUAUAAUUUACGAAUUCCCACGAGUUUCACCUAUUUCGUAUUAUAUUCGCCCGUCUAACGCAAUUCAGUAGAAAACCCGGCACAAUUUAUAGGAUUUUUAACUUAACGUUGCAGAAAGUUGUUGUGCAGUGAACAUACUUGUGAAUGCUUAACCUCACAGGAUCGAUUAGCAUAAUUAUUAGACAAAAACAUGAUCAGCAAAACAGCAUAACAAUUAGAUAGUGGCAUAGUGCUAACGUGCAUGCAAAAACAGUAUACCAAGUUAAUUUUAUUCUUUGAUAUAGCUUUUUGCAUCCAUCACAUCUCAACCAUCUCAAGAUGCUGAGCGGAAGAAUGGGACGGAGUUUGUGGUCCCUUGGUUUGAUCCUCAUGUUAUUCAUCGUAUGCGUCGAAUGCUGGAAGGAAGGCUACGAUAUGCCCCCUGAAGGCGAAAGGAUAACGGGGGCUUCUCCAGAGUUCAAAUCCAGAAGCUUGAUGCAAUUUUGUUUGGCCAGCAUCGUGAUGGCUUUAACCUUUUUACUGUAAACGCAACAUGAAAAUAUUAAGAUUAAUUUCUUAAAGUAAUAGUAUUGGUGAAAUAGGACAUAAUUAUGGUGACUAUAAUAAAUCAUUUGGUUGAUUCGAAACUUCUCGCAGGCUAAUUCGAGUAAUUUUGGGAUGAAUGUACGAUUACCUUUAGAAUAGUGUUGGUUUGUUGGUAUUAAAUAGGACAAAAUUAAUGUGGUUAUAAUGAUAAAAAAAUCGUUUAGUUCAUUUUUAGGACAAUACUUUUAGGAUGAAUUUUUGUCUUCUGGUUUCGGUCAAUUUCCACACUAAUGUUAAUCUAGAUUUAAUUGCAAUCCUUACUCCAAUCUUUCCUAACUCUAAUACUAACUAUAUCAACACGGAGUAUUAAAGAACAUACAGAGGUUUCACUUCAGGUUAAUUUAGCGUAAGGGAUUUUUUCAGUCACCAUGUUCUUGGCAAGUGCCAUAAAGAGAGGCACCCCCUUGAAAACAUAUUGAAAUUCAAUGUUCCAGGGGGGUAAAUGCCUCUCUUUAAGUUAAGGCACUUGCUAAAAACAUGGCCGCCUGAGCUAUUUUGGUAUAAAACUAUAAGCCUACCUUACGGUUUUCCCGCAGAAGUGAGACCUCUGUAUGUACUUACUCUGUGCCAUUAAAGUAAUUCGAAUCUUCUCUCUGUAAAAGUGCUUUUGAUCUUUCUAGCCUGAAAACAGACCUACGUUUCGACCCGCGAAUUUUAGGGCGGGCGAAACGUAGGUCUGUUUUCAGGCUAUGAUCUUUCUGUGGCUAUGAAAAUUAUGACUGGAUAGAGUAUCUUUUUUAAUUCAAUCGGCCAAUUUUGAAGGCAGAAUAUUUAUGAGAUGAAAUUUUAAAGUCUGCCAAAAUCUCUGCAAUCUAAUCCGCGACGUGUUUAAAUUAGCUACCUUAUCAAACAAUUGUCUUUUCCUAUGUAACUUGAAAGAUAUAGCUUUCCAUAUAUUCUUCUAAUAAGUUUUAGAGACUAAUGAAUUUUUGAACGUAUUAUGUUCUAGUGGCUCGCGGGCUAGAAUUAAGAGGAGGCGCAGUCAGGCAGGUUAGAAGCGAGCGACUGUGCGGUGUUGAUGGGGACAUCCUGGGACAAACGGAGAUAACUACGAGUUACUAAAAACAAAACCUUUGCGGAGGUAACGCGGCGGGCUGACCGUCUGCCAAGCAGGCUAUUGCGGAUCAGAGCCACAAGCGCGGAAGUUCCGGGUACGAGGUUGGCAAUCUCACUGGACAAUAACCUGCGUGUAGCGUCAACCCGAAUUUUUAAAAUAUCGUGUUGAGGCUACACGCAGGCUAACUGGACAAUUAGAACAAUUAGCCAUUCCGAAGUUGAUGAGAGGACUGGGGACGAGUGUUAAAAAGUGCCCAAAUUAAGAAAUGGACCAAAUCACUAAAAAGACCACCUCAAAAUUAGUAAGUAUACAAAGUUUGAAGACGUUUACAUGAAUACCCUUCGAAUAAUAAGCUUUCGAAAAUCGCGAUAUUUACCAGUAUGAAAUGUACUGUAAUUUUUGUUUUUGGGCCGCGCUUCCCAAAAACAAUCUUUAAAUCAGUAAUUUCACAAUUUUCGGAAGCAUAUUAUUCAAAAGGUAUUCAUGUAAACGUCGUCAAACUUCUUUACACUUACUAAUUUUGAGAUGCUCUUUUUAGUGAUUUGGUUCAUUUCUUAUUUUGGGCACUUUUUAACACUCGUCCCCAGUCCACUCAUCAACUUCGGAAUGGCUAAUUGCUAUCGAAAUAUCAUUGGUUAAUGCCCGAUUCUUAAAUGCGUGAUAUAUAGUAUUGCAAAAACAAAACAUAUUAAGGAGAUCAGUUCAUGUUUUUGUCCGAAGAAGACUUUCAUUGGAAUAUUUCCGCAGGUAAGAUUUUUUCUGCUCACAUAUAUUAUAUAUACGUUCUGCAUAAGGACUCAGUGCUUUACUCACACAGGAGCGGACACUCAAAUUUCACGUUUGCAUCUUUUGCAUUGAAACGGGACGCAUAUAAAACUGAACGUAUAUGAGCACAGCUCACUGUAUGAAUUUCCAUGUGAACAAAUGGAACCGGACGCAUUGCUGAGACCUUAUAGUUUCGGAUUUGUCCAGCUAAUCUUUGUAAUUUUUAUGUAAAUAUUAAUUAAGAAUUACGUUCAUUACCGAUUCUAUGAUCACAGUACAUCAUCAAGCAUUAUCUCAAAAAGCAAAGACCGCUUUUGACCAGAAAAUCGUGUCUUUAACUCGAGAAUGAUGUUUAAAUUGUCACUCACUUUGGUCAAUCACUUUAAAACGUCAAUAGUCAUGUAAAGUACAUGCACUGACUUGUUUGCCGUGUAAAAAUUGAAGUCCAAUAGCUAUAUCGAUUAUUUGGUUUAUGCUUAGUGAAUAGUUUAUUGCCAAUGUUAAAUUUUCUUAUGUUUUUUGUUUUAUAUAGACAUUUGGAGCCUUGCUGUUCACACGAACACCGUUCUUACUAAAUUUGUGCGCAGUUGAUCGCCGUAAGUAGUAUACAUUAGUCAUUAAACGUCAACAUUAGAUAUUGAAUAACUUAUAUAGACAAUGUUCAUAUCAUUUAAGUCCAGCUAUAAGAUUCGCGUCUCUGUCCUAAUGAUGCUAAUGCUAAUGCGCAAAUAUAGCUGGCGCCGGAGCCGUCCCGACCAUCAUGCAUUAUUUGCGCACUGCCACUAGUGCGGCAUUUUAAUGCGAUUUUUUUCGAGCCAAAGCGUAGCUAUCCUGAUGUGCACUGUUUAAGAAAUCGCGCGGUCUCAUUUCAAUGUGACUUGAUUCUGAUUAUGAGUUUUUUAUUGUAUGUUUACCAUACCAUACUAUAUUUAUAAUUUAAAAUUCAUACGUAUAGAUUACAUAAAUGCGGGGAAAUAUAUGUUACAACAUGUAUACAUAAACAAACAUAAACAUUAUCUCAGCAGAAGGAUGUUAAAUUUGUUGAUUUGUUCAAAAUAUAAAUUUUAGAGUGGGGAAGAGGAGUAAAAUAAGAGCGCCUCCUUGCAGUUGAGAGUCCUAUUAAAACCAUAACUCAAUACAAUAACUUACCCUUGACUACCCUUGUCCUUCCGUUUCAGGCUUAACCCAGUGUCAAGGGCAUGUAACCACCACCCGCGAUUCCUUUUGUUCGGGAAUAUAAUGAGCUUUAUCUGAGUGUUGAGUUGUUUGAACUUUCUCUAUAAAUCCACGACUUUCAUACUCGGUGAUGAUAUUACUAUAUGUCUGGAGCAGUUCCGGUGUUUGUUUGAGGCGACGUGCCAUCGAUCUUGUUCUCCUUUCGCAUACCGUGUAGUUAGAUUGGAGAGGUGGGUGUUCUGGUUUCCACGGAAAUCCUGCUAUGUAACUGCCAUUCGUGUCACGGCUGGUGAAUGAUUGUUGAUACUGUUCGAGAAAUUGUUUAUGAGGAUCAUUUUCAGUUGGUGGUGUUAUUCCCAAUGACUCUAGAGACCAAAAUCGUUGUAGGUCGUACUCAUCUGAGGAUAUCUGGAGAAAAUUUGCAAUCGAAUGUACUGGUUGGUCAGUUUUUAGCGGACCUGAUAGUAGAUAACCAACUUUGGAUUUCAUGGCAGUAGGCCCAUUUCCACGGAUGACUUGGUCUUCGAUGAUGUCCCAGUAUUGGUCGGCUCCAACGAGGAGGGAAAUUUCAAAACUUUCAUCAUUUGUUACAGGGUGUGCAAGUUGAAGGUUCUUCAGAUGUGGGAUGUUGUUGAUAUGGUGAUGUGAACGAAGUUGAAGUGGUGUUGCUAUUCGUUCAACAAUUAGUACGCGUAGUGGGAUUUCAUCAUUGGUAAUGGUCUUAAGGUUGAUGAUGGUGGACUCGAGGGACCUUGCAGCUGAAGUUUGAGCACCAAAGCCAGAUAUACUGAUAAAUUCUCUUUCUGUGGGUUGUAGUUGCAAGCGGGUUGCUAAAUCUUUGGUAAUGAAUGAUCUUUGUGCUCCUUCGUCAAAGAGAAUGUUUGCUUCACAGUAGGUGGUCUGAUUACCAACUGUUGCUAUGGCUGUUUUGAGCAAGGUUUCCGUGUGGGUGGGAUUAGUUAGGGGGGCAAUAGGGGUCAUAGUGGUGUGGACAACAGUACCCGAGGUGUUCCCAGUAACGUUUGCAGCUGGUGAGGGUAUUUCAGGUUUUGGCUGACCUUCAUUACAGAGACAGGUAUGGUGUUUUCCCUUACAUGAGCGACAGCGAAACUUUGACAGGCAUGCUGAGGAUUUGUGGUGACCCAAACAAUUGAAACAAAGUUUCUGUUCCUUUACAAUUGCCCAACGUUUUGAACAAUCUUUGAUUGUAGCACAUUCAUUAGAUGAAUUAAUUAAGAUUAAGCUUCACGUUUCCGGGAACGGCAAACGGCUGGUUCGAACUUUCUUGGCAAAAUUUUCGUUGAACGUUUUCGUUUCAUAUUUUCUUUCUUGCGUCGAAAGAGUAUAAUUAUGUAUUUCAGUUUUAAAACAGCAAGUUCACUAGCUUAUUCUUUAUUGCCCGAUACUGUAAAAAUUUUCUUUGCCUGGCGUGCCGUAUAUUUAAACUCUCUAAUGACAUCUAAUUGUUCAACGUAGGCUCUAAAAUGCCUUCUAUCUAUAGUCAUUUAUAUUCAGUUAAGAUCAUUGUGAAUAUUUUUAAAAUGCAAGCCAAUAAAUCAUUUUCUAUUUCAGUUUUAAAACAGCAAGUUCACUUAUUCUUUAUUGCCUGAUACUGUAAAAUGUUUCUUUGCUUGGCCUUUGCCGUUUGACCGAUAACGCGAAGCUUAAACUUUCUAAUGACACCUGAUUGUUCAACGUAGGCUCUAAAAUGCCUUCUAUCUUUAUAGUUUAUAUUCAGUUGGAUCAUUUUGAAUAUUGGGGUCCAAUCUGGGGUCCAUUUUAGUCAAAUAUGAAGAUGAAAAAUCGAUAACGUGAACUCGAAUCGGAGAAUUAGUGUACAUGCACCAUUUCAAUAAUUACGUCACGACAUACUUGGCCAGGAGCCUCGCUGUCAUGAUUCGAGACGAAAGGCUAUUCGCUCGCGAUUCAUGAAAACGAUACUCGCGGGCCAAGGACGAGUUUGUGACGUAAUUAUCUAAAGGGUGUAUUGAUUAUUUGAUCGUUUUAGUAUACAUUCCAUUCCAGGAUGCUUAGCAAGUCGUGGACAACCUUAAUUGAAAUAGCUGUAUGUAUAUGUUCUACAAUGUCAGGGCCGGCCGUAGAGUAGACACCGUUGGGUGGGGCUGUAAACUAGUGAUAAUCUUUAAAGUUUGAGAGGGAAAUAAUGACCUAAUAAUCGCCCCUGACUAAUUAGACCCCUUCCCCCCCUGAAUGUCACUCAACGAGUAUUCUUAGUGCGUACAGGGCCGGCUCUAAAGCGCGGGAAGGAGAGGGUGUAAAAUCAGAAGUUUAUUAUAAGUCUCGAAAAGUUAGAGAGCCCUCUGAUGUAAACAAUACUCAAAUUUCGCGUUGUUUUGACAUUUUCUAAAAUGUGAUCUUUUAUAUCUGCUGUCGCUUAGGUUAGGCCACAUUGUUACCAUAGCAACACACAAUUUGCUUCUUUCGAACUAUUAUGCUUGACUACGCAAGCGUUUCUACUUCCAAAAAAUCCACAUUUCACAUCAAUAGCAGAUAUUUUGCGCCAUUGUGACUGGUCAAUGCAUGAAGCAUAUAGCAUAUUAUGAAAAAGACUUCCUCAUACGCCCACAUGGGCCCAAACGUACAAGUCUCUUUUAUUCCCAGAUUAAUUGUAUUAUUUUAACAUCUUUAAUAACAUUCUCAUUUUGUUUAAGACACCACUAUUUGUAGUAAUGAUAGUAUUGAAUUCUAUAUUCAUAAAUAAUGGUUACCUGUGAUUUUGGUGGCUGCAAGAAUGGUGCACCCAUCAUUGACGUAAUCAUUUGCGCAACAAUUUAUUAUUUCAUAUCACCUAGCACAUGAACUUAAUUACCUCAUUUGCGUGAAAUCAUUGGCUGGUACAUGAAUGCAUGCUGUGAUAUAUAGCCUUACAAGUCUCUAAGAAGAUCAGUUGGCGUUUUUGUCCAAAGAAGACUGUUUGUCUGUUUGUGUAAUUGGCAUAUUUCCACAGGUAAUGUUUGUUAUGCAUGCUUUCAUAUAUACAGUUGAACUUGUAUUAAGCGGUCACCCUUUCUUUUAAGCGAUCAUUUGGCAAAGUCCCGAAAAUUUCAUAAUGUAAAUGCUAUUGAAGUGACCUUUGUUAAACCGCUUUAAUACCUCUGUUGAGUCGACGCACAACCCCAAACAUAUUUUUUCAUUGUUGUGUAACUGUAUUAAACCUAGUAUUAAGCGGGCACCAAGUGACCGCUUAAUACAGGUUCGUCUGUGUGCCUAUCGAUUCUGUAAGGGGACUAAUGGUGGAUUUUCCAGUUUUUCCACUAGCUCAGACUCAUGACGGAUUUUAAGACACGUGCGCUAUGGAAUGUCGCGUUUUGGCACCCAUGAAAAAAAGAAAAGGCUCCCCAUUCAUAUACCCUUUCGGUCCCGCGUUUAACGUCAAUAUAAGAAAGGUCUAUUGAACUCAAUCGAACAUUUUUAAAUGUAAACUAAUACACAUUUAAAUAUACAUGUAUUAUUGUCAACAGUCGACCUUGAAUUAUUUCUCGAAUCGAUGACAUCUGGAGGCUGGAUGUUAACUCGAAACAAGCUACGGAAGAAAAGACAAUCUGUUUGAAAUUUUAACCCCAAAAAGGCAAAGACAAGCAGCCAAAUUUAUGUUGAAAUGGGGGAUUUGUUGUAAAAUGUAAAUUCAGGUGGCGUUAUCCCACCAGGCUGCCGAAACUCACAAACCUUUCAGCUCUUGUAUAAUUGGAUCUGUACAGUAGACCCUGACUAGCCUGCGGGCAGUCCCAUACCACAUAAACGAGGGAAGGGUUAGGGUUAGGCUAACCCUGACUGGCUUGGUAUGCAAAUUGCCCAUUAUUAAUCAAUGUUUAUUUAAACUUUUGAGAGAUGGAUUCUCACUCUUCAGUUGAAUGAUAUUCAGAUACGAAACAUGAAACCAAUUAACCAAUUAACCAAAUAUUAUACAGCUAAUUCAAUUAAGAUUGUCCUUUCAUAAAGUGAAAACCCCAAAACCUCGGCCUCUCAGCGCGAAAAGCACGAUGGAAUUGGAUUUGCAUAUAAUAUAUAAUUGAUACUUCCGACACGCCGGUGUAGGUCUCAUUUCUGCGAAAAAAACGUAAGGUAGUUUUUACUGGGCAUAUAUUCCUGCCAUGCAUGCUCUUAAACCUGGAAUGCCUGGUUUUCAUAUGGUCGUAAAAAUAGACUCACGAUCUUUCUCAACGGCCAGUUUAUACCUGUAAACCACAUAUAAAUCAUAAGUAUUCUCUAGUUAAAAUCACUCCGCGUAUUUUCAAAAAUGUUGUAUUUUGGCUGAUGAGAAAGAUCGACUUUAGUAAGUGCCCCAAAGAGAAGAAUUCACCCCUUGGAACACUAAAUUUCAAUAUGUUUUCGGGGNNNNNNNNNNNNNNNNNNNNNNNNNNNGGGUGUCGGCGUCUCAUUAGGGCACUUGCUACGAACAUGGCCGACUGGGAAAAUCCCUUAUGCUAAAUUAGCUUUUCUCACGCCGCCAUUUUUGGGUGGCAUUUCAGCCGAAGUCUGCGAGAUAAGUCCACAUAACAGCGACUUUUUAUAAUUUUUUUGACGAAUGAUGGUAAAUUUGCUUUGUAAAUGGUUAGUUUAUUUUGAAAAAUUGCUGUUCACAUUGUUUUAAUUGUCUGCAUUGGUAAACGAGAAUUAGAUGCCACCCAAAAAUGGCGGAUAUUCGUCAUCGUGAGAAAGGCUAAUUAACCUGAAGUGAGACCUCUGUAUGUAAUUACUCUGUGCCGUAGUUACGGUUGCUACGUCCCACCAGCCGUUUGGGUAAAAAAGCGAUUUAUAAUUUACGAAUUCCCACGAGUUUCACCUAUUUCGUAUUAUAUUCGCCCGUCUAACGCAAUUCAGUAGAAAACCCGGCAUAAUUUAUAGGAUUUUUAAACGUUUUAACGUUGCAGAAAGUUGUUGUGCAGUGAACAUACAUGUCAAUGGUUAACCUUACAGGAUCGAUUAGCAUAAUUAUUAGACAAAAACUUGAUCAGCAAAACAUAACAAUUAGAUAGUGUUGACAUGCAUACAAAAACAGUCUGAUAAUAAUAAUAUGCCCAUUGUGCUUUUCGCGCUUAGAGCUCGAUGUUUUUGACAUUCAGACGACAACCUCAACUGAAUUUCCCUAUAUUUCUCAAAAGUGAAAAAAAAACCUGAAAAUAACAUUGAAAUGGUAAUUUGCAAUUUGCAUACCAAGUUAAUUUUAUUCUUUGAUAGUUCUUAGUAUCCAUCAUAUCUCAACCACCUCAAGAUGCUUAGCGGAAGAAUGGGACGGAGUUUGUGGUUCCUGGGUUUGAUCCUCAUGUUAUUCAUCGUAUGCGUCGAAUGCUGGCAGGACUACGAUAUGGCCCCUGAAGGCAAACCGAUGAAAUCAGCUUCUCCAGAGUUCAAAUCCAGAAGCUUGAUGCAAUUUUGUUUGGCCAGCAUCGUAACGGCUUUAACCUUUUUACUGUAAACGCAACAUGAAAAUAUUAAGAUUAAUUUCUUAAAGACAUAGUAUUGGUGAAAUAGGACAUAAUUAUGAUGACUAUAAUAAGUCAUUUGGUUGAUUCGAAUUAUAAUUUUGGGAUGAAUGUACGAUUACCUUUAGAAUAGUGUUGGUAUUAAAUGGGACAAAAUUAAUGUGGCUAUAUAAUAAUGAUCAUAAUAAU